This 492-nucleotide ribosomal RNA is filed under the name uncultured bacterium. RNAcentral describes it as "bacterial SSU rRNA". It matches the Rfam family "Bacterial small subunit ribosomal RNA", at positions 162 to 688 of the family's 1533-position model. The record is from RNAcentral.
GGUAAUGCCGAAUGUGCCCUUCGGGGGAAAGAUUUAUCGCCUUUAGAGCGGCCCGCGUCUGAUUAGCUAGUUGGUGAGGUAACGGCUCACCAAGGCGACGAUCAGUAGCUGGUCUGAGAGGAUGACCAGCCACACUGGGACUGAGACACGGCCCAGACUCCUACGGGAGGCAGCAGUGGGGAAUCUUGCGCAAUGGGCGAAAGCCUGACGCAGCCAUGCCGCGUGAAUGAUGUAGGUCUUAGGAUUGUAAAAUUCUUUCACCGGGGACGAUAAUGACGGUACCCGGAGAAGAAGCCCCGGCUAACUUCGUGCCAGCAGCCGCGGUAAUACGAAGGGGGCUAGCGUUGCUCGGAAUUACUGGGCGUAAAGGGCGCGUAGGCGGAUCGUUAAGUCAGAGGUGAAAUCCCAGGGCUCAACCCUGGAACUGCCUUUGAUACUGGCGAUCUUGAGUAUGAGAGAGGUAUGUGGAACUCCGAGUGUAGAGGUGAAAUU